AUUGAACGCUGGCGGCAGGCCUAACACAUGCAAGUCGAGCGAGCGGCGGACGGGUGAGUAAUGUCUGGGAAACUGCCGGAUGGAGGGGGAGAACUAGUGGAAACGGUAGAUAAUACCGCACACCAUCAGAUGUGCCCAGAUGGGAAUAGCUAGUAGGUGGGGUAACGGCUCACCGAGGCGACGAUCCCUAGCUGGUCUGAGAGGAUGACCAGCCACACUGGAACUGAGACCCGGUCCCGACUCCUACGUGAGUCAGCAGUGGUGAAUCUUGCACAAUGGGCGCAAGCCUGAUGCAGCCAUGCCGCGUGUGUGAAGCAGGCCUUCGGGUUGUAAAGCACUUUCAGCGGGGAUGUGUUACCCGCAGAAGAAGCACCGGCUCACUCCGUGCCAGCAGCCGCGGUAAUAC
This 406-nucleotide ribosomal RNA is filed under the name uncultured bacterium. RNAcentral's name for it is "partial 16S ribosomal RNA". It matches the Rfam family "Bacterial small subunit ribosomal RNA", at positions 30 to 526 of the family's 1533-position model. The record is from RNAcentral.